UGAUGACAUGACAGCUCUGGUUUCUGACUUUGGCAUUGCAAGGUUAGUUUUGACAGUUGGGGGUGGAAAUGCUGGGGUAGUUGAGAAUGUGGGCAACUCUACUGCAAAUUUGCUAUCUGGAUCUAUCGGAUAUAUUGCACCAGGUAUGAAUUUACCCUUUGCUUCUGCAUCUGCAAAAGCAAACAGCAAACCAAAAAUUUAAAAGACAUUAAACAACAAACCAAAAAACCAAAAAGAUAGUGCUUUCUAUUAUCACACAAUUAAGAAAAAUGGUUAAAAGGACUAUUUUAUUGAUAUAACUUUUCAAUUAUGUCCAUCUUAAAUAACACAUGAGCAAUUAUUAUAAUUGAAUAAUAAGUAAGAAUUGAUGAGAGUUACUGAAAAUAAGAUAAAAUUUAAUAAGCGUAUAAUAGACAAUGUAAGGAUUAACUGUAAUAAACCAAAAAGGAAAUAUGGACAAUCUUUUUGGGACGGAGGGAGUAACAUUUUCCACAAUGCAGGUAGGUUAUAAAAUUUUUCAUCUACUUAAAAUAUGCAUAAAAGAUGAAGAGACUAUAAGUUAAUGAUUAGUAACAAUCACUGUUCAACUGGUUCCCACCUAAAUCCACCCACAUGUCAAGGCAAGUAAAAUGAUUUCUUAACUGUAUAAGUAUCACACCAUUGCUAUGAAAAGGAUCCGAUUUGUCUCAUCAAUCUGUAUCGUCAUAUAUCCAACUUUGCAAUUCAGUCCUGUCUUACAACUCAUGGGCACAAAGCACUGCCUUAUUCAAUUCUCAUUCAAAAAUGCAGAGUAUGGGUUCGGUUCAAACACAUCUACUAAAGGAGAUGUUUAUAGCUUUGGUGUUGUAGUUCUUGAGAUGGUCACUAGAAAAAGACCGACAGAUGACAUGUUUGCUGGUGGGCUAAACCUGCAUAGAUGGGUGAAGAGUUACUACCAUGGUAGAAUGGAACAGGUGAUAGACUCUUCUUUGUUGAGAGCUGCAAGAGAUCAAUCCCCUGAAGUAACGAAGAUGUGGGAAGUUGCAAUAGGAGAAUUAAUUGAGUUGGGUAUUCUUUGCACUCAAGAGUCCCCUUCCACAAGACCUACAAUGCUUGAUGUAGCUGAUGACUUGGAUCGACUAAAGAGGUAUCUUAGUGGAGAUACAACUGCAACAUUUGCAUCUUCAUUGGGAAUUUCAUCAUCCACCACAGGAGAUGACUAAUGACUUGCCAAUUUGUUGUAUUGUAAAUUGCAUUAAUUCUCCAAUUUAACCUUUUCUUUUCCUGACCUGUCAAGAACUUUAACUUGACUUCUCACCUCUCUCGACCAAGUCAUUUAUGCAUGAAUUUUUUUUAUAAACCCAAAAAACAUGCAUAUAGCAUAUAAUUGCUAAAUUCAAAUUAAAAUACAAAAGCAAAAUAAGUAUGCAAUUGAAAUAUAUUAUUUAUCAGUUUUCAUCAAUUACAACCUCCUCACUAUUCAUUUGCUUAGAUAAACAACUCUUUAUCAUUUUUUAUGUUUCAUAAUUUUCAUUUGAGUUUUGUAUCAGAGCAGACAGGGAGUUUGCAUAUAAGAAGGGAGAUAGACAAAGUAAUAAUAUCAUGUAAUGUCUUUUUAUCUUGGCCAAAAGCUCUAAAAUUAUCAACAAAUGUUGCACCUCCCAACAAGCUUUUAAAAAAAAAAAAUCUUGUCGUCAGAACCCCAGAAAGCAUAUUUUUCUUGUGCUGUGAGCAGUUCAAGAAGGUUAUGGUGAUUCAUCAUAGUAAUCAUCACCGAUAUUCAUCUAGCAUAAGCAAAUAUCAUAUGGUUCCACUGCCAAUAAUAUAUGGUUUUGUCUACUGGAACCCUAGUUUUCCAUGAGCAUAAGUAGAUUUUUAAUUUUCAUAACUACAGCAUAUUUAGGGAAUAUCAGGAAUUAGCUUACACCUGGGGUAUACUAGGAGUGGACUAAGAGGACCUUAGAUAUUAUUUUUAUUCAAGUUAAAAUCAUAUAGUACAUUAGAUUAGAGAAAAAUCCUUAAAUCUGUGCUUGUGGGUUAAUUCAGACAACCAGAAGCUUGAGAAAAAAUAACAUUAAGGACUCUAGAGUCAAGAAGCUUAGAAUUAUGAUCCAAAUUUAAUAUAGGAUUUAGUAAGAAUAUUAUAUUAUAACUCCUAGUCCUUCAUAAGUUUUAUUGUGUCUAUUCCAAAAAUAUAAGUGUUGGGUUACCAUUUUAACAUUUUUAAGUCUUAAACUACUUUUGCGAUUCCCAGCUUUGUUGGAGUGGAUGUUUUAAAGAGUCUUAAUUUUCUACUGUAGCAUUGUCCCUUGCAGUUUUCUCCAGAACUCCAAAUCUUGGAGAAUUAGGACUAAAUUUGAUCAUCCAAUGGAAAUCUAGUGUUGUGCCUAAGGGAGUACAGGUGGGACUAUUAAUAGAAUUAGGCUAAGCCUCUGCAAAUAGCUCAACAAUCUACUUUCCUUUUCAUUUUUGCUGCAAAGCUACUCUCGGUAAACAAACCUAAUUUUCUAUUCAUUCUAGCUUUUGAAUAAAUCCGAAAUCUAGCCCGAUAAUCAUCCUACUACCUGUCAAAUAUCAGGGCUAGCAGUAUCAUUUGGAAACAAGUUACACAUAUAACUAAAACAGAAAGGUUUGACAACAAAAUGGGAAAAAGAAACUCAUAUAAGACUCUUACAAAAAGAGUACACAGCUAAAAGUUCUUUUAUAGGGACUGAUGUGGCUACUGCUCUAAUGCAAUAUGAAGUGCUCCCAAGGAGUAGAUAAUAUGCAUCAGAAGCCUUCCAGAUAACAUUUUCUCUCAUUGUCGGUGAGUAACUCUUGCAUUCCUCUAUGGAUAAUUACAUUUACCAGCAUGUCAGACCACCUAACCUCAACAACAAAUGCGAAAAAGAAUAGCAACAAAUGGUUGCUAACUGAAAUAUAUUCGAUUAUAUAGUAUUUGUCAAAUUGUCUCGACUCACCAAUUCUUCAGCCUAUGUAAUCUGACAAGCAAGUUUUGGAACUAAAGGACAAGUACCAAACAUAUGCAAACAUUCCAUUGAUCAAACUGAGUACCAUUUGAAACAAGUAAAAAAAAAAAAUAAUAAUAAAUUCAAUCAUAUAAUACCCAGAUUUCAAAGUGCUGUUAUACAACAUCUAGCUGAAAAAUUCAGUUAAAUUUGACAAUAGAUGUCAAUCCAUAAGAGUCUUAGAACAGCAGGUCAGCUGAAGGAGAAAAACCAUUUGCAAAAAGAAUUGUACAGUAAUGCACAAUUGCUGUUGAGACAAAUAUGUAUAUGAACAAUUUAGCUAAACAAAGCCUUAGCAAGAAACAAACUACCACAUCUACAACCAUUUUAAGACAAGCAACCAAGUUUUUUAGCAACUUUGAAAAGAAUAAAGACUCAAUUACACACCAUUCAACCCAAAAACUCAAAAUUUAGACACGGAUAUUGUCCUUUACCGAUAAAUGAAUUCAAGAAGAGAAUGAGAAUUAAUUGAGAAGAAGAGAACGACCUUGUUUUGAGCCAGAAAUCCCAUAAUCGACAGCCAUCGGGUGAAUCUUUUCUUGUUCUUCUGCAAUUUAAGAUGAAGUUUGGAAUUUGGAAAAUUCAUUUUCUAACAAGAAAGAAUCGAAUAAUUCCGCCACUUGAUAGGGCUUACAGCUGCGACCCAUUUGAUAUAUCUAUGGGCCGGGUCUUUUAUUGCCCCAUAUGGUAAAGGGUAGGCAUUGUAGGAUCGGAA
RNAcentral lists this long non-coding RNA (3702 nucleotides) under Jatropha curcas. RNAcentral's name for it is "long non-coding RNA (JCUR_LNC000837)". Lineage: Eukaryota; Viridiplantae; Streptophyta; Magnoliopsida; Malpighiales; Euphorbiaceae. The record is from RNAcentral.